AUUUCAAAUCCCUGAAAUAUCACUUCUUUUAUCCUUCAAUUCUCUGCCACCAUCAUGGCCGUCAAAGCUCCGGAGAAGGCCAAAGCCAAAGCUUCAAAGGACCCAAAAUCUAAGAAAACUUCCUCUGCUCCUAAGAAACCCAGAGCCUAUCCUCCUUACAGCGAGAUGAUAAAGGAGGCUAUUGUGGCGUUGAAAGAGAGAACCGGGUCGAGUCAGGUCGCGAUCGCCAAGUUCAUAGAAGGGAAGCAAAAUCCUAACUUGCCUGCUAACUUCAAGAAGCUAUUGCUUAUUCAACUGAAGAAACUUGUUGCUAAUGGCAAGCUUGUUAAAGUUAAGAACUCCUUUAAGCUUCCUCCUAAAGCUACUUCUGUCUCAGAUGCUAAAGCACCGGCCAAGCCGAAGGAGAAGACUGAGGCUCCCGCUAAGCCUAGGGGCGCAGCAGGGAAGCAGAAGGCUGCAGCGGGGGCAAAGCCAAAGAAGGCGGUGGAAACUACAGCCGUGAAGUCUCCAGGAAAGAAAGCCGCAAAAUUUACGGCAGCGAAAUCGCCGGGAAAGAAGGGGUCAGUUUCUAAGAAGAAGACGCCGGC
RNAcentral lists this unclassified non-coding RNA (587 nucleotides) under Hevea brasiliensis (rubber tree). Lineage: Eukaryota; Viridiplantae; Streptophyta; Magnoliopsida; Malpighiales; Euphorbiaceae. The record is from RNAcentral.